RNAcentral lists this ribosomal RNA (424 nucleotides) under uncultured bacterium. RNAcentral's name for it is "bacterial SSU rRNA". It matches the Rfam family "Bacterial small subunit ribosomal RNA", at positions 64 to 507 of the family's 1533-position model. The record is from RNAcentral.
GAACGAGAAAGCCCGCAAGGGUGAGUACAGUGGCGACCGGGUGAGUAACACGUGGACAACCUGCCACCGAGUGGGGAAUAACCCUGGGAAACCGGGGCUAAUACCGCAUAACACUUUUGAACUUCGGUUUGGGAGUUGAAACCCGCAAGGGGCUUGGUGAGGGGUCCGCGGCCGAUUAGCUAGUUGGUGAGGUAACGGCCCACCAAGGCUAUGAUCGGUAGCCGGCCUGAGAGGGCGCACGGCCACACUGGAACUGAAACACGGUCCAGACUCCUACGGGAGGCAGCAGUGGGGAAUUUUGCGCAAUGGGGGAAACCCUGACGCAGCAACGCCGCGUGGAGGAUGAAGUCCCUAGGGUUGUAAAGCCCUUUCGGCGGGGACGAUAAUGACGGUACCCGCAGAAGAAGCUCCGGCUAACUUCGUG